Molecule: ribosomal RNA, 138 nt
Filed under: uncultured eukaryote
Lineage: Eukaryota
Description: partial 18S ribosomal RNA
Rfam family: Eukaryotic small subunit ribosomal RNA
Source: RNAcentral
UGGUGGGUUGCCUUGUCAGGUUGAUUCCGGUAACGAACGAGACCUCAGCCUGCUAAAUAGUCCACAUCGCAGCUGCGGUGUGCUGACUUCUUAGAGGGACUAUUGGCGUUCAGCCAAUGGAAGUAUGAGGCGAUAACA